UACGUAGGGACCGAGCGUUGUCCGGAAUCAUUGGGCGUAAAGAGCGUGUAGGCGGCCUUUUAAGUCCUGCGUGAAAUCCUGCGGCUCAACCGCAGACGGUCGUGGGAAACUGGAAGGCUAGAGUGCGGGAGAGGAGAGUGGAAUUCCCGGUGUAGCGGUGAAAUGCGCAGAUAUCGGGAAGAACACCCGUGGCGAAGGCGGCUCUCUGGAACGCAACUGACGCUGAGGAGCGAAAGCGUGGGGAGCGAACAGG
Molecule: ribosomal RNA, 253 nt
Filed under: uncultured bacterium
Lineage: Bacteria
Description: partial 16S ribosomal RNA
Rfam family: Bacterial small subunit ribosomal RNA
Source: RNAcentral